RNAcentral lists this ribosomal RNA (321 nucleotides) under uncultured eukaryote. RNAcentral's name for it is "partial 18S ribosomal RNA". It matches the Rfam family "Eukaryotic small subunit ribosomal RNA", at positions 1470 to 1796 of the family's 1831-position model. The record is from RNAcentral.
CCCUUAGAUGUUCUGGGCUGCACGCGCGCUACACUGACACACUCAGCGAGUCUCCUGGCCCGAGAGGGUUGGGUAAUCAUGUGAGCGUGUGUCGUGAUGGGGAUAGAAUAUUGUAAUUAUUGCUCUUCAACGAGGAAUUCCUAGUAAACGCAAGUCAUCAGCUUGCAUUGAUUACGUCCCUGCCCUUUGUACACACCGCCCGUCGCACCUACCGAUUGAAUGGUCCGGUGAAAUCUCCGGACUGGCGUGAGUCGGAGCAAUCUGACAAACACCGGAAAGUUGAUUAAACCUUACCAUUUAGAGGAAGGUGAANUCGUANCA